GACAGAGGUCCCGAGCGUUGCUCGGAAUCACUGGGCGUAAAGGGUGCGUAGGCGGGUCUUUAAGUCAGGGGUGAAAUCCUGGAGCUCAACUCCAGAACUGCCUUUGAUACUGAAGAUCUUGAGUUCGGGAGAGGUGAGUGGAACUGCGAGUGUAGAGGUGAAAUUCGUAGAUAUUCGCAAGAACACCAGUGGCGAAGGCGGCUCACUGGCCCGAUACUGACGCUGAUGCACGAAAGCGUGGGGAGCAAACAGG
Molecule: ribosomal RNA, 253 nt
Filed under: uncultured bacterium
Lineage: Bacteria
Description: partial 16S ribosomal RNA
Rfam family: Bacterial small subunit ribosomal RNA
Source: RNAcentral